Molecule: ribosomal RNA, 539 nt
Filed under: Vibrio tubiashii
Lineage: Bacteria; Pseudomonadati; Pseudomonadota; Gammaproteobacteria; Vibrionales; Vibrionaceae
Description: bacterial SSU rRNA
Rfam family: Bacterial small subunit ribosomal RNA
Source: RNAcentral
AGAGUUUGAUCCUGGCUCAGAUUGAACGCUGGCGGCAGGCCUAACACAUGCAAGUCGAGCGGAAACGAGUUAACUGAACCUUCGGGGAACGUUAACGGCGUCGAGCGGCGGACGGGUGAGUAAUGCCUGGGAAAUUGCCCUGAUGUGGGGGAUAACCAUUGGAAACGAUGGCUAAUACCGCAUAAUAGCUUCGGCUCAAAGAGGGGGACCUUCGGGCCUCUCGCGUCAGGAUAUGCCCAGGUGGGAUUAGCUAGUUGGUGAGGUAAGGGCUCACCAAGGCGACGAUCCCUAGCUGGUCUGAGAGGAUGAUCAGCCACACUGGAACUGAGACACGGUCCAGACUCCUACGGGAGGCAGCAGUGGGGAAUAUUGCACAAUGGGCGCAAGCCUGAUGCAGCCAUGCCGCGUGUAUGAAGAAGGCCUUCGGGUUGUAAAGUACUUUCAGCAGUGAGGAAGGGGUGUCCGUUAAUAGCGUGCAUCUUUGACGUUAGCUGCAGAAGAAGCACCGGCUAACUCCGUGCCAGCAGCCGCGGUAAUAC